UAUGACAAUUAUCGGGUACUCCGCUGUGGGAUUGUUCAAAUGAUUACAAAACAUAACAUUGUAAUUAACAAAGACCUGUAGAAUGUAUACUGUAGGUCUUUGUAAUUUACAAUGUUAUGGUUUGUAAUCAUUUGAACGUAUUUUGAAAUACUUGCACGCAUGCGCAUUUAAGUAUGCUGCAUGCACAAAUAACGAAUCAGGCUUUAUAGACCGGGUACGUAACCAGCCGUUUGUCAUUGCAUAAACUUGUAUUAAAGAGGAAACAUGGUUGGAACUAAUACCUUCUUGUUUGCAUGCGCGCUGACCGCUCUUCUAUGUGCGGCGGAAACGAAUGCCCUUACGUGCUACACUUGUACCAACUGUAACGACCCAUUCUCGUCUAGCAACGUGGCAACAGAUACUACGUGUACCGCUUGCUCAAAGGUCAAGAUUGCAGACUGUAAGAAACUCUAGCUUGAUAUUAAUGCUUCUUUAUAUAUCCGACUGUGAUAAUAUCUUAUCAUUAUCGCACUUGGACGACAUGUAAAUAGCGAUUGAACUAUUUUACUCACGUUCUUUUGGUUUUCCAAAGCGCACAAGGUCGUCUGAUUUUAGAUGAAUUAAACAUAUUUUUUAACAGUUGCUUCGGAUGUCUCUUUACCACGUCAACUUCGGCCAAUCGUCUUCUUAACACAUCGUUAACAAAUCAUAAAUUGUUAUAAAACUGUUCUUUUAUGUUGAUUCCGGUUGAUUUGCGGUCUGGGCAUUGGUAUUGAGGUUAUUGCUUCAACCUUUUUUUCAGUUGUUGAAAGAGGCUGCACUGACGUAGGGUCAAGUGGCUGCACUGACGUAGAGUUAUUCGGCGUUAAAACUUCAACGUGUUUCUGUACCGAUGCUCUCUGCAAUGGUGGCAAUCACGUGACCAUAACCAUGGGAGCGAUGUUGCUCGGGACCGCUGUAGUGCUGCUGAAGGCCUUUUUUUAAACACAAAUGCAGUUUUGAGAACUUUAAAAUACAACAUACUGAAUACAAAGAUUUGAUGCCGAAAAAGAUUGUACUCAAACAUUUAUUUUUUCAACAUUGUUCAAACUAUACUUUAUUAUAAUAUGGUUGUAAAUAAAUUAUAUCAUCGAUACUAACCAUAAUAAAAUAUUUUUCAAAUUUU
Molecule: long non-coding RNA, 1144 nt
Organism: Dreissena polymorpha
Lineage: Eukaryota; Metazoa; Mollusca; Bivalvia; Myida; Dreissenidae
Exons: 2
Source: RefSeq, a predicted model, not a curated record